UUCGUGAAAGGAAAUUCUUAGAUUUGGUCGCAAAGGCAAGCUGAGUCCGCUCUUUAUUGGUCCGUAUGAGGUUAUUGAAAGGAUAGGACCAGUGGUUUAUCGGCUAGCUUUACCGUCGGAAUUAGAGAGAAUCCACAAUGUGUUUCAUGUGUCUAUGUUGCUAUGAUAUCGAUCAGAUCCCUCUCAUGUGAUUUCACCAACUGAGGUUGAGAU
RNAcentral lists this long non-coding RNA (213 nucleotides) under Gossypium barbadense (sea-island cotton). RNAcentral describes it as "long non-coding RNA (GBAR_LNC001622)". The record is from RNAcentral. Lineage: Eukaryota; Viridiplantae; Streptophyta; Magnoliopsida; Malvales; Malvaceae.